GUACGGGAGGCAGCAGUAGGGAAUUUUGGACAAUGGGCGAAAGCCUGAUCCAGCCAUUCCGCGUGCAGGAUGAAGGCCCUCGGGUUGUAAACUGCUUUUGUACGGAACGAAACGGCGAGCUCUAAUACAGCUUGCUAAUGACGGUACCGUAAGAAUAAGCACCGGCUAACUACGUGCCAGCAGCCGCGGUAAUACGUAGGGUGCAAGCGUUAAUCGGAAUUACUGGGCGUAAAGCGUGCGCAGGCGGUCAUAUAAGACAGAUGUGAGAUCCCCGGGCUCAACCUGGGAACUGCAUUUGUGACUGUAUGGCUAGAGUACGGCAGAGGGGGAUGGAAUUCCGCGUGUAGCAGUGAAAUGCGUAGAUAUGCGGAGGAACACCGAUGGCGAAGGCAAUCCCCUGGGCCUGUACUGACGCUCAUGCACGAAAGCGUGGGGAGCAAACAGGAUUAGAUACCCGGGUA
Molecule: ribosomal RNA, 461 nt
Filed under: uncultured bacterium
Lineage: Bacteria
Description: bacterial SSU rRNA
Rfam family: Bacterial small subunit ribosomal RNA
Source: RNAcentral